UUACAGCAACUAGACAAGCGUAGAAUAUGAAAUCAGGCAAAAGUGUAGGGAAAGGCGGAUCCAAGCUGAAACAAAUAAAAGUAAUGUGAGUCAUUAUUAUAUAGUGAGCAAAUCUCCGGAGCUUUGAUAUUUGGAAAACAGAGUGCAGGAGGGGAGAAGUAGACAGUAUGCACGGGAAGAGGAAGUCUGUGCUGAAAAGCAAGCAUUUUCUUAAGGAACUCGGAUGAGCUUCACUUGUCUUGUGUCACCUUCCCACUGAUGGACCAUUCUACACUUCACUCAACUUACCAAAAGAGGCACUACCUUUGAAGUCCUCUCCAACCAGUGCAAAGGAUUAUGGCCUGCCUAGGGGAGAGGGAAACCAAACGGUUUGCCU
RNAcentral lists this long non-coding RNA (376 nucleotides) under Chrysemys picta bellii (western painted turtle). RNAcentral describes it as "lncRNA (ENSCPBG00000025580.1)". Lineage: Eukaryota; Metazoa; Chordata; Testudines; Emydidae. The record is from RNAcentral.